AUGUCAAACAAAAUUGUUGCAUUGUUGUUGUUGGUGUGUGUUGUAAAUGUUCAAGGGAUAGAAACUGGGAAAUUGAUGACGCAUGAAGCAUGCUACGAGUAUUGCUACGCAUCCAUGAUGUACCCCAAAUUCAUUGCCGAUCCUAUAUGUAAAUUACGCUGUAAAUACCCCAUGUAUGAAAACCGACCUCUUCCUGUUAAUCCAGGACUAGAACAAUCCUUGCACGUAAGGAAAACUGGUACUCCGGAAAAUUCUCCGAUCCCAUCACCUAAAAUUCGUUGA
Molecule: non-coding RNA, 282 nt
Organism: Vicia faba (fava bean)
Lineage: Eukaryota; Viridiplantae; Streptophyta; Magnoliopsida; Fabales; Fabaceae
Source: the annotation of a GenBank genome assembly